This 498-nucleotide ribosomal RNA is filed under the name uncultured bacterium. Its description in RNAcentral is "bacterial SSU rRNA". It matches the Rfam family "Bacterial small subunit ribosomal RNA", at positions 29 to 524 of the family's 1533-position model. The record is from RNAcentral.
AUUAAACGCUGGCGGCAUGCCUUACACAUGCAAGUCGAACGGCAGCACGGGGGCAACCCUGGUGGCGAGUGGCGGACGGGUGAGUAAAGCAUCGGAACGUAUCCUGGAGUGGGGGGAUAACGUAGCGAAAGUUACGCUAAUACCGCAUAUUCUGUGAGCAGGAAAGCAGGGGAUCGCAAGACCUUGCGCUCUGGGAGCGGCCGAUGUCGGAUUAGCUAGUUGGUGGGGUAAAGGCCUACCAAGGCGACGAUCCGUAGCGGGUCUGAGAGGAUGAUCCGCCACACUGGGACUGAGACACGGCCCAGACUCCUACGGGAGGCAGCAGUGGGGAAUUUUGGACAAUGGGCGGAAGCCUGAUCCAGCCAUGCCGCGUGAGUGAAGAAGGCCUUCGGUUGUAAGCCUUCGCCGGGAGAAGUACGUGCGGGCGAACGAGUCUGCAUGGAUGACGGUACCGGAAGAAGAAGCACCGGCUAACUACGUGCCAGCAGCCGCGGUAAU